RNAcentral lists this ribosomal RNA (349 nucleotides) under unidentified eubacterium EH-14. RNAcentral describes it as "bacterial SSU rRNA". It matches the Rfam family "Bacterial small subunit ribosomal RNA", at positions 32 to 362 of the family's 1533-position model. Lineage: Bacteria; Deltaproteobacteria. The record is from RNAcentral.
AACGCUGGCGGCGUGCCUAACACAUGCAAGUCGAACGAGAAUUUCCGCUUCGGCGGAAAGAGUAAAGUGGCGCACGGGUGAGUAACGCGUGGCUAACCUGCCUUUGAAUCUGGAAUAACCCCGUGAAAACGGCACUAAUACUGGAUAAUGUCCCUUUGGCUUUGUCCUUAGGGAUGAAAGGUGACCUCUUCAUGAAAGUUGCCGUUCAGAGAGGGGUCCGCGUACCAUUAGCUUGUUGGUGGGGUAAUGGCCUACCAAGGCUACGAUGGUUAGCUGGUCUGAGAGGAUGAUCAGCCACACUGGAACUGGAACACGGUCCAGACUCCUACGGGAGGCAGCAGUGAGGAAU